AAAACUUGCAGGGAAAGCUGAAGCAUAAUAUUAUAGUAAAAUAUAUAUAUAUAUAUAUAAUAUAUUAUAUAUAAGUAUUUAAACUUUAGACUUUAUGUAUGUAUUAUAGUAUACAUCUUAUAUUAUAUAUAUAUAUACUGGCUAAACUUACAGUAGAGUAAUGUGUUGAAACUUGAGGGGAAAAUCACUUUUUGAGAGAGACUGGCUUUCCAGCAUUUUCUUGGAGAGAUGUGGUUUCAUGGAAGAAUGGUGUCUGAGCUACAUUUUGUCUUAUUCUAAAGAUAAAAAGAUGACAGAAGCCAGUGGACUUCGUAUCACUACAGAGGAGAGACAACAUUUUUUUUUAAAUUAUCAUGAAACCAAAAAAAGACUGAUCAUCCAGACCUCAGCCUCCUCCUCCCCAGGACUCCUGGCCAGGAUGGAGGUAAGGGAUGGAGGGUCCAAUCCUGGGACAGUCUUGUCCCUCAGCACCUCAGGCAUGAACUUCUGGGACGGUGGGGUUGGCUUCCCUGGCAUGAUGGACAAAGGCCUGGUGUCUGGACCGGAGGGCCGCUGCAGCGAGCAGGAGUAGCUAACAUAUGCCAGGCAGAUCCUCUGGACACGUAAUCUACCUCAGACAAUACGUGAUGACUCAAUCAAGGCCGAUAAUAAAGACAUUUCCUGCUAAAAAAUAAAAAAUAAAUUACGACCGGGCACGGUGGCUCACGCCUGUAAUCCCAGCACUUUGGGAGGCCAAGGCGGGAGGAUCACAACGUCAGGAGUUCGAGAUCAGCUGGCCAAUGUGGUGAAACCCUGUCUCUACUAAAAGUACAAAAAUUAGCUGGGCAUUGUGGUGGGCACCUGAAGUCCCAGCUACUCAGGAGGAUGAGGCAUCACUUGAACGCCGGAGGCGGAGGUUGCAGUGAGCCGAGAUCGCGCCACUGGGUGACAGAGUGAGACUCCAUCUCAAAUUAAUUAAUUAAUUAAUAAUAAAAUAAUUUUAACCAGGUUUUCUUUACCUUUAUUAAUGUGGCUUUUAGAAUAUUU
Molecule: long non-coding RNA, 1026 nt
Filed under: Macaca mulatta (Rhesus monkey)
Lineage: Eukaryota; Metazoa; Chordata; Mammalia; Primates; Cercopithecidae
Description: lncRNA (ENSMMUG00000045269.2)
Source: RNAcentral